This 172-nucleotide ribosomal RNA is filed under the name uncultured bacterium. RNAcentral describes it as "partial 16S ribosomal RNA". It matches the Rfam family "Bacterial small subunit ribosomal RNA", at positions 1328 to 1500 of the family's 1533-position model. The record is from RNAcentral.
GGAAUCGCUAGUAAUCGCGGAUCAGCAUGCCGCGGUGAAUACGUUCCCGGGCCUUGUACACACCGCCCGUCACACCAUGAGAGUCGGGAACACCCGAAGUCCGUAGUCUAACCGCAAGGGGACGCGGCCGAAGGUGGGUUCGAUAAUUGGGGUGAAGUCGUAACAAGGUAUC